ACGGAAGGCAGCAGUGGGGAAUAUUGCACAAUGGGGGAAACCCUGAUGCAGCGACGCCGCGUGAGCGAAGAAGUAUUUCGGUAUGUAAAGCUCUAUCAGCAGGGAAGAUCAUGACGGUACCUGACUAAGAAGCCCCGGCUAACUACGUGCCAGCAGCCGCGGUAAUACGUAGGGGGCAAGCGUUAUCCGGAUUUACUGGGUGUAAAGGGAGCGUAGACGGCGAAGCAAGUCUGGUGUGAAACCCCGGGGCUCAACCUCGGGCCUGCAUUGGAAACUGUUUUGCUUGAGUGCCGGAGAGGUAAGCGGAAUUCCUAGUGUAGCGGUGAAAUGCGUAGAUAUUAGGAGGAACACCAGUGGCGAAGGCGGCUUACUGGACAGUAACUGACGUUGAGGCUCGAAAGCGUGGGGAGCAAACAGGAUUAGAUACCCUGGUA
Molecule: ribosomal RNA, 434 nt
Filed under: uncultured Lachnospiraceae bacterium
Lineage: Bacteria; Bacillati; Bacillota; Clostridia; Lachnospirales; Lachnospiraceae
Description: bacterial SSU rRNA
Rfam family: Bacterial small subunit ribosomal RNA
Source: RNAcentral